GGUCGCUUAACUCAGUUGGUUUAGAGUGUGGUGCUAAUAACGCCAAAGUAAGAUAAAUAAACUCUAUUCUAAGUGGAUCUAACAUUAAAUAGGUCGCGAGUUCGACCCUCGUAGUGACCA
This is a non-coding RNA of Cenococcum geophilum 1.58, 120 nucleotides long. The record is from the annotation of a GenBank genome assembly. NCBI's taxonomy places the organism in Eukaryota, Fungi, Ascomycota, Dothideomycetes, Gloniales, Gloniaceae.